UACAUGUGGGGCAAGCGUUGUUCGGAAUUACUGGGCAUAAAGGGUGCGUAGGCGGCUUGUUAAGUCAGGGGUGAAAGUUUUCGGCCCAACCGGAAAAUUGCCUUUGAUACUGGCGAGCUCGAGUGCGUGAGGGGUAACCGGAACGAGUCGUGUAGCGGUGAAAUGCGUAGAUAUGACUCGGGAAGGCCAACGGCGAAGGCAGGUUACUGGUACGCAACUGACGCUGAGGCACGAAAGCGUGGGGAGCAAACAGGA
Molecule: ribosomal RNA, 255 nt
Filed under: uncultured bacterium
Lineage: Bacteria
Description: partial 16S ribosomal RNA
Rfam family: Bacterial small subunit ribosomal RNA
Source: RNAcentral